RNAcentral lists this long non-coding RNA (824 nucleotides) under Homo sapiens (human). RNAcentral's name for it is "HSALNT0342473". The record is from RNAcentral. Lineage: Eukaryota; Metazoa; Chordata; Mammalia; Primates; Hominidae.
AUAGCCCAGGUACAUCUGAAAGGAGUGAGAAGUGUUUUGAGGGCUCUCCCUGUCUCUUCCUGCACCUCUCUCUUGUGAUCCCAGAAGCUACAACCUCAGCCCAGAUUAGCAGGCUGAGGGGUCAGGAGGCUGUCACUGGAGCUGUUGAGCUCAUGAACACGCCGAAGUUGCUGCGCUCCAGAAAUGUGGAAGUUGGAAUGAAGAGCCACCACUGCUGCCACCAACAUGAAGCUUGACCAAGCAAGCCAAGAAAAGAUGGCCAAGAGCCUCUGCCUUCCUUCUGCCUUCUGCAACGCAAUGAAAGGCAACCCAGGAGGAGACUGGAAUAAAUGCUGAGUGCCAAUUUCCAACACAAGUAGUCAUUAUAAUUGGGAGAAGGCUACUUGGACCUAAAGGAAUGAAUUAGGAAGCGGUCUACUACCAAAGUACAAUGAAGGUCAGUUUUCUUCAUACCUUAAUAUGAAAAACGUUUUAAAAUGUCUCAAUUUCCCUAUGCUAACCUCUGGUCACAGAGGCUUGAGGGCUUCCUAUAGUACCAAAGUAUGACUUGCCAGUUAAAAAGAAAACGAAUUCUUGCCCCCAGGGGUAAAGAUAACAAAUUUAGAACACUAUGACAUACAUCUAUUAAUAUUUGCAGAAGGAGUAUAUGUUGUUACAUUAACAUACAGAAAUUGCAUAGUUGAUCCAGAGGGAAGUCUGGAGAGUACAGGGAUGGAAAAAAGGAGGAGGAUGGAAAAGAAUGGGAACUAAAACUUAGGUGACUACGUUAAGGAUUACCCAUGAGAGCAAGACACAGGAUAAAGUACUGAAAACAAAAAAAAAAA